UGGCCUUAGUACGGCGAGUGAAGCGGCAAAAGCUCAAAUUUGAAAUCUGGUACCUUCGGUGCCCGAGUUGUAAUUUGGAGAGGGCAACUUUGGGGCCGUUCCUUGUCUAUGUUCCUUGGAACAGGACGUCAUAGAGGGUGAGAAUCCCGUGUGGCGAGGAGUGCGGUUCUUUGUAAAGUGCCUUCGAAGAGUCGAGUUGUUUGGGAAUGCAGCUCUAAGUGGGUGGUAAAUUCCAUCUAAAGCUAAAUAUUGGCGAGAGACCGAUAGCGAACAAGUACAGUGAUGGAAAGAUGAAAAGAACUUUGAAAAGAGAGUGAAAAAGUACGUGAAAUUGUUGAAAGGGAAGGGCAUUUGAUCAGACAUGGUGUUUUGUGCCCUCUGCUCCUUGUGGGUAGGGGAAUCUCGCAUUUCACUGGGCCAGCAUCAGUUUUGGUGGCAGGAUAAAUCCAUAGGAAUGUAGCUUGCCUCGGUAAGUAUUAUAGCCUGUGGGAAUACUGCCAGCUGGGACUGAGGACUGCGACGUAAGUCAAGGAUGCUGGCAUAAUGGUUAUAUGCCGCCCGUCUUGAACACACGGAACCA
This 580-nucleotide ribosomal RNA is filed under the name Saccharomyces cerevisiae (brewer's yeast). RNAcentral describes it as "partial large subunit ribosomal RNA". It matches the Rfam family "Eukaryotic large subunit ribosomal RNA", at positions 75 to 669 of the family's 3401-position model. Lineage: Eukaryota; Fungi; Ascomycota; Saccharomycetes; Saccharomycetales; Saccharomycetaceae. The record is from RNAcentral.